CUUACAAACUAUUUAUGCAGUAUCACCAAAGGAAGGCAGAAAAGUAACUCCUCCUCGCACUCUCAAGUACUAUGACUGUGGCUGUGAAAGAUGCUAUGAAUAUGUUAGGCGAAAAAAUGCCCAAACAUUGAGACGCGCUAUCAUUUUAUCAAAAAGAUUAUCAAAAAAACACCAAGGCGAGGCUUCAAGUUCCCAAAAAUUAACACGGCAACAGAGAAAACAACUUCAAGGUAAGUCUUCUUAACCAAAUCUAUAUUUCUAACAAAAUAAACACAAAAAAAAACUUUUACUAAAAUUAUUA
Arabidopsis lyrata subsp. lyrata is the source of this 301-nucleotide long non-coding RNA. RefSeq lists it as uncharacterized. The record is from RefSeq and is a predicted model, not a curated record. Lineage: Eukaryota; Viridiplantae; Streptophyta; Magnoliopsida; Brassicales; Brassicaceae. The transcript has 4 exons.